This 433-nucleotide ribosomal RNA is filed under the name uncultured bacterium. Its description in RNAcentral is "bacterial SSU rRNA". It matches the Rfam family "Bacterial small subunit ribosomal RNA", at positions 29 to 507 of the family's 1533-position model. The record is from RNAcentral.
AACGAACGCUGGCGGCAUGCCUAACACAUGCAAGUCGAACGAGACCUUCGGGUCUAGUGGCGCACGGGUGCGUAACGCGUGGGAAUCUGCCCUUGGGUUCGGAAUAACUCAGAGAAAUUUGAGCUAAUACCGAAUGAUGUCGCAAGACCAAAGAUUUAUCGCCCAAGGAUGAGCCCGCGUAGGAUUAGCUUGUUGGUGAGGUAAAAGCUCACCAAGGCGACGAUCCUUAGCUGGUCUGAGAGGAUGAUCAGCCACACUGGGACUGAGACACGGCCCAGACUCCUACGGGAGGCAGCAGUGGGGAAUAUUGGACAAUGGGCGAAAGCCUGAUCCAGCAAUGCCGCGUGAGUGAUGAAGGCCUUAGGGUUGUAAAGCUCUUUUACCAGGGAUGAUAAUGACAGUACCUGGAGAAUAAGCUCCGGCUAACUCCGUG